Non-coding RNA from Pantherophis guttatus, 221 nucleotides. The record is from RefSeq and is a predicted model, not a curated record. Lineage: Eukaryota; Metazoa; Chordata; Lepidosauria; Squamata; Colubridae.
CUGAUGGCGUCAGAAAUAAUUCUUUUUCUUGCUGUCACCUGAUUAAAUGAAACUGACAAGACCUGUUGCUCAGAUAUUGGGAUACAAAACGUUGCCUAUCAGUAACAGAAGCAUACCCUAACAUAAACUGAAAUCUACACUAAAGAUAAAUUCAGGUGAAUACAGACAUCUUCAGGUCUUAUCAUUUGUAUAUGAGUUUACCUUGGGCAGAGAAAACCACU